Molecule: long non-coding RNA, 975 nt
Organism: Ailuropoda melanoleuca (giant panda)
Lineage: Eukaryota; Metazoa; Chordata; Mammalia; Carnivora; Ursidae
Exons: 5
Source: RefSeq, a predicted model, not a curated record
GUGAUGCCAUAAGUAUAACCUGAACCAGUUUUAGAUAUAUGGACAUUUAAGGAAAACGUUCCUACUGACGUUGGAUUUUGCCGCACGUAACUUGGUUACUGGCAGACAUGGAGGAGACGAGCGCAGUGGACGGAAACUGGCAAGGAGCCCUGGACGGGAAGGUCCCAGCCUGCAGACUGUCCUCUAACCAGCUGAACUUCCAAGGACAACCCACAACCUCUGGGAGCCUCAGCGUCCUCGCAUAUUGAAUAAAGGUGCCUUGGGCUUCCGGAGAAGCUCGGAUGGAGCCUUGCAUGGUGGAAGGACUCACGCCAGGGUCAAACCGAGAAGUAUUGGCCUCAGCUCAUUGGCUUGGAAAUGGCAUAAAUGGCAAAACUAAUAUCGACUCCGUUCUCAAAACCACAGGCAUGCACCAGGCUGUGCUCUGGAUUCCGUGUGUGCAUUUGCCGUUAACUGGCCUGGAUUCCAAAUUGCACCUGCUAGCAGUAUGUAACUCAGGAGUUUUUAAGGCCUCGUAAAAAUGAACUGCACGUCAAUGAAGAUAUUUAAGAGAGGAAGAGGGAAGUCUUCCUUUACAAUAUUUUCAAGAGCGAAGUCACCACAGGGGGAGGCAAACAGAGGAUAAAAGCUUCUGAUCCGAGAAACGAGCAUCACGUGGCUACAAUCAGGCAGACCUCCGGCUUCGACUAGACCGAGACAGAGGCCAGCCAAGGAUUCCGGACAUGGACAGCACGUCCCUAAGGGACACGAACAGCGGGUGUGCAAUUCGUUCCUCCACACCUGCACCCACGCAGUGAGCUGCCUACUCCUCACCAGGUGAGGUAUGAUUCCUCUGCCCUCGAAACUCAGUCGGCCGCACUGAAGCUUGUACUCGUACAACACCGCAGAAGUGACACACUGUGACUUCCCCAGCUGGGUCAGAAAAAGGCUCUGCAGCUUCCACCUGGUUAUUCUGGGACACCUGACCCCGCGGCA